UGGGAAUUUUGGACAAUUGGGCGAAAGCCUGAUCCAGCAAUGCCGCGUGUGUGAAGAAGGCCUUCGGGUUGUAAAGCACUUUUGUCCGGAAAGAAAUCCUUGGCUCUAAUACAGUCGGGGGAUGACGGUACCGGAAGAAUAAGCACCGGCUAACUACGUGCCAGCAGCCGCGGUAAUACGUAGGGUGCAAGCGUUAAUCGGAAUUACUGGGCGUAAAGCGUGCGCAGGCGGUUUGCUAAGACCGAUGUGAAAUCCCCGGGCUCAACCUGGGAACUGCAUUGGUGACUGGCAGGCUAGAGUAUGGCAGAGGGGGGUAGAAUUCCACGUGUAGCAGUGAAAUGCGUAGAGAUGUGGAGGAAUACCGAUGGCGAAGGCAGCCCCCUGGGCCAAUACUGACGCUCAUGCACGAAAAGCGUGGGGAGCAAAACAGGAUUAGAUACCCUGGUAGUCCACGCCCUAAANGAUGUCAACUAGUUGUUGGGGAUUCAUUUCCUUAGUAACGUAGCUAACGCGUGAAGUUGACCGCCUGGGGAGUACGGUCGCAAGAUUAAAACUCAAAUGAAUUG
This 566-nucleotide ribosomal RNA is filed under the name uncultured bacterium. RNAcentral describes it as "partial 16S ribosomal RNA". It matches the Rfam family "Bacterial small subunit ribosomal RNA", at positions 356 to 912 of the family's 1533-position model. The record is from RNAcentral.